RNAcentral lists this long non-coding RNA (349 nucleotides) under Salmo salar (Atlantic salmon). RNAcentral's name for it is "lncRNA (ENSSSAG00000122153.1)". Lineage: Eukaryota; Metazoa; Chordata; Actinopteri; Salmoniformes; Salmonidae. The record is from RNAcentral.
CAGCCAGCCAGCCAGGCAGGCAGCAAGUCAGGCAGCCAGUCAGCCAGCCAGCCAGCCAACCAGAAAGCCAGCCAACCAGUCAGUCAGUCCCUGACCCUCAGCAGGUAGAUGUGUUAGUCCCUGUGUUAGUCCCUGACCCUCAGCAGGUAGAUGUGUUAGUCCCUGUGUUAGUCCCUGUGUUAGUCCCUAACCCUCAGCAGGUAGAUGUGUUAGUCCCCGUGUUAGUCCCUGACCCUCAGCAGGUAGAUGUGUUAGUCCCUGUGUUAGUCCUGACCCUCAGCAGGUAGAUGUGUUAGUCCCUGUGUUAGUCCUGACCCUCAGCAGGUAGAUGUGUUAGUCCCUGUGUUAG